This 117-nucleotide ribosomal RNA is filed under the name Myxococcales bacterium. The record is from RNAcentral. Lineage: Bacteria; Pseudomonadati; Myxococcota; Myxococcia; Myxococcales.
UUCGGUGGCGAUGUCAGAGGGGUCAUACCCGAUCCCAUCCCGAACUCGGAAGUCAAGCCCUCUAGAGCCGAUGGUACUGCGUGGGAAGCUGCGUGGGAGAGUAGGACGCUGCCGGGA